GAUGAUCGCUGGCGGCGUGCCUAAUACAUGCAAGUCGAGCGAACGGACGAUAAGCUUGCGUCUCUGAUGUUAGCGGCGGACGGGUGAGUAACACGUGGAUAACCUACCUAUAAGACUGGGAUAACUUCGGGAAACCGUAGCUAAUACCGGAUAAUAUUUUGAACCGCAUGGUUCAAAAGUGAAAGACGGUCUUGCUGUCACUUAUAGAUGAAUCCGCGCUGCAUUAGCUAGUUGGUAAGGUAACGGCUUACCAAGGCAACGAUGCAUAGCCGACCUGAGAGGGUGAUCGGCCACACUGGAACUGAGACACGGUCCAGACUCCUACGGGAGGCAGCAGUAGGGAAUCUUCCGCAAUGGGCGAAAGCCUGACGGAGCAACGCCGCGUGAGUGAUGAAGGUCUUCGGAUCGUAAAACUCUGUUAUUAGGGAAGAACAUCUGUGUAAGUAACUGUGCACAUCUUGACGGUACCUAAUCAGAAAGCCACGGCUAACUACGUG
Molecule: ribosomal RNA, 497 nt
Filed under: uncultured bacterium
Lineage: Bacteria
Description: partial 16S ribosomal RNA
Rfam family: Bacterial small subunit ribosomal RNA
Source: RNAcentral